AUUAGGAAGGUUGAGAACCACUGGUCUAGAGGGACGUGGUGCUCCUCAGACCCUAAAGGACGGUGGGCACCACGUCCAUUGUGUCACUUGGGUUCCAUGAUGGAGCCCAGAGGUGUGAGGCAUCUGGUUUGCAGUUGAGGAAAAGAGCUAAGAAGGAACCCGGGUGGUGUCAGACUCUGCAGUUAUGGACAUAUAAUUACUUACAAAGGGGACAGGGAGGAAUCUGGGCUUAGACUGCAGUUAGGAAACCGGGGACCCUCGAUGUGUGACUGGUGAAUGGGAUGAAUUCAGCAACGCGGGACUGGACUGACUGUGUGUCUGCUUUUUCCAGCACAGGCUUGUUGGCCUCCGUCACCUUUUCACACAAGACUAAGGGAAGCGUCAGGGCCUGCGGACGGACUGCCAGUGACACCUGGACAGGAGGGAUGCGACCCGUGUCCUGCUGAGCCAGCUCUGCCACACCUGCCCUUCGGACAGACCCGCCCCCUCCAGGUAAAGUAACCGCGCACAGAAACGCCCGCGUGCAUUGCAAAGGCCGUGGCUAGGUUCAUGAUGACACAGGACCUUGUCUGAACUUCAUGAUCUCAAAACAUGAGCUUGGAUAUGUCACUGAAAUCUAGUCAUGCGCCUCACACACACCUAGCACACCUGGUCAACAGGAAGUGUUGGCUUGACAUGACAACUUAGCAUACUUUCCAUGGCAGUUAACACACGUUCGUUCCUCAAACAUCUUUCUGUACAACCUUCACACACAUUUCAAGCGCAUCCUUUUCUCUUCUGUACAUAUUUGUGCUGUUGGAGGCAACAAAGGAGGCCCACCCACGGACCCCGACAGGCACACGUGCGGAGGGAGCGGAUGCCAGGCAUGGAGACUGCCCCACCCGCCUGGGAUGGAACAUCGACACCCCCGUUCUCGGGAUCUAGUGGUGGCGGGGUGAAGGCCUCACGCUGACCAACAUGCCGGCUGUGUGGAACAUGCCUUCCCAAGGACACAGCUCCUGUUUGAGGACAAUUAAUCUUGUCUGUAACCUAGGUCAGCGAUUUUCAACCCAUGUGCCCCGAAAUUUUUAAAGCAUGUAACUCACCCUCCCUUAAACCAUCAAAUAGAAAAUUAUAAGAGUCCACACAACAAUGGCGGUUCAGUAUGAAUUAAUCAAAAUUAUACUUAUCUUUAGGUCAAAUUGGCAAAAAUUGUAUAUUUUGGUGGCCCACUGAAUUUUACUAAUUGGCUUACGUGCUAUGAGAUUGAGAAAGGUUGAAAAUCACUGCCCUAGGUUUAAGGUCUCACACAGUAAAUGUUCAAGAAAUGUGUGGCAUUAAGUAGUUCUCCAAUGUUAACGGUACAGCCCUUACAAACCUUCAGUGACUCCCCUACAGUGGAAACGUGUGAUGACAAUCCAGGCCUGUCCCACCCAACUCCAUCCUCGAUCUCUAAAGGAGCCCCCUGCUCCCAGACAGGGCCGAGCUGUGGUGCCUGCAGGGACGGACACCUGUAGCCAUUGUAGCCCGGAAGUCCUGCUUGAGGUCACAGGGCAGUGAGAGGACGUGGCUGGCUUAGGGAGACGUGACGCCUCGCAGAGCAGCAGCAUUUGACAUCAGUCCCAGGACACUGAUUCUGGAGUGAGCGUGGGUGAAUGAAUGCCUUCAGGAAGUCAGGCUCCAACAACAGGCACUGGGCAGUCAGGAGGGACAUUAGGUGUGGCUGCCAUUUAAGUCUCAAGUUGUAGUGGAAGAAGCCUAACGUGACUUCAGUCUUCAGCUAAAGGACAUAGCUGUGCCCCAUGGCUCCUGCCUUCAGUAGCAUCUUUGUCAUUCAGCAUCUUAGUGAGCUUCCCUACCUGAUUUCGGCAGCUUUGUCUUUAUGUAGCAUCUUUAUCUUAUUGCAGCUUCUUCAUCUUUAUGUAGCAUCUCAAUCUGAUUGCAGCAUCUUUGUAGCAUUUUAUCUUGUUGAGCAUUUUUGUCAUAAUGUAGCAUCUUUAUCUCAUUGCAGCUUCUUAGUCUAUGUAGCAUCUCGAUCUGAUUGCAGCACAUUUGUCUUUAUGUAGCAUCUUUACCUUAUUGCAGCUUCUUUGAUUAUAGCUUCUUAAUCUUAGUCUUUCUGCAGCAUCCUUGUCACUUAGCAGCAAGAAUAAAGGUAAAAUAUAGGGUUCCCAAUAUGAGUAAUUUGGUGACAUCAGGAAAGGAGCUUGUGCUCUGGCCUCAUGGUGACAUGUGGGUGGCGUUCCCAUAGCAUUGGAUUUCCUGUGGCAGGGUGAGCGCUUCUCUGAGACCCUCCGAGUCCGCAUGCAGCAUCUACAGACCUGUGGUCGGAGUGGGUUUCAUCUGUUCAAUCUGACUGACUUUCUUGACCAUUCUCAUUGACCUUUCCACCUUGAUUUUUUUUUACACUUUGGAAUACUUCAGAUUUUCUCCCUGUAGCCUGGGUUCCUAAAUUGGAUUACAACAUGUUAAUGGAGGAGAGGAAGUUGUCUGUUCUUCCUCGUUACAUCUGUCUGGUGAUAUUUGGUGUUCCACUUUUCAAUUUUUUGGACAGUUGGCUUGGGGAAGUGGAUUCUAAGGUAUUUUCUUGUAAGACACCAAAGGUCUCAACUUGAUUCCAACAGAUUUCUGGGUGUUUCGUGGUCUUUGAUCCCCAUGUGUCACUUGAAUGAAAUUGCUGUCAAAGAUGGCUGAUGAGUCACUCACUCUUGUAGGCCAGGGCCUUCCUGGUGGUAGAAAUGUACAGUCCACAGGCAUAACCUUCAACCAGGUGCACAUGCUGUUGGUAAGACGUGGGCUUGACUCAUGAUGAGCUAUGUUGUCUGAAGUGAAUGACGUGAAGGUCACCCGAAUGAAUACUCUGAAGUCCAGCCAAAGUGUCCAUCCACGCACGUGGGCCGCACAUUUCUUUAACAUCCGUUUGUAGGCUGUACAUUUCACCAGGCUUCCCAUCAACAUGGCAGGCGAGUCAGAGAGAGGAGGGCGCUGUGGGCUCUCAUCCCCACCCACCACAUCUGCCGUCUCACUUUGGAAUUUCCCAUCAUGCAUUUCAAGUGACACCCUCAUGACAGCCUCACUGGUUCCUACCUUGGACCAGAGCUUCCUGAGCCCAUGGCCCCAGCCCCUUGGAGCAGCUCCAGUCAGCACAGGAGCCAGAAAGUGCCAGUUGGUUGACACCUUGCUUUUGUCUGAGAUGAGUUUACUUUUUCCACCUACACUCAGAGGGAGCCCUUUCAUUCUUAUCUUAGUAAGUCACCACCUUUUGCAUCUUGGCAAGAUGUAGAUGGAGAUUCAAUUGUUGGCUCAGAUUCAAGGGGGGGUAAUAGGCGUUAGCAGUGGGUGAAUCUGAGCCCAGGAGAGGAACGGUUUGCCAAAAUGCCAUGCAUUCUUUGAAGGGGGUCUUCACGUCAUUCUUUAACAUCUGAAACAUCUGUAACAUCUGUCUUGUGUGAGUAAUGGAUCUUAUGACCUGAGAUUGACAUUCUAUGACUCAGUGCUUGUGCUUUGCUUGUAGUAGCUCUUGUGAGGGGUGAAUAGUAAUUAAACAGGUAUUUAGGAAAACCUGUAUAAAAAAGUUACCAUGGACAGUUGAAUGUAUUAAGACCUUAUCCUUAAAUAGUCACCUUAAUUUGUUAAUGCAUGUGUGUGAGUGUGUGUAAAUAGUGUGGGUGUGGAUAGUGUGGCGCAUGAACAGCUUUUAGUGGAAAGCUGUUGGGGUUCCAAUUAAUUACAUUCUUUGUAAAGUAAGUUAGACAAGUAUUUUCACAGUUCUUUACCUUGUUUAGUUCCAGUUGUCCUACCAGAUUUUUUUUUUAUAUUUACUACCUCAGAGACUUGCUUGGUUUCUCUUAGAGAAUUGAGAGAAGUUAGAUGCCCUUUCUACUAACUGAAUUACAGUAGGAACAUCAGUUGAGUGAGAAAGGAAAGGAGGGAGUUAGCGGUCUUUUGACCUUGGACGUUGGGUGCCAGCUAGGAUGGUCCUGACUGCUGAGAGGACACUGGUCAUGCUGGCUGAGAACCAUCCAGAACAUCCAUCCGUUCUUGAGGGUCACAUGGCCUAGAGAGAAUCCCUACACAGCAUUGGAAAGGCGGAGAUGGAGAGGGAAUGAAUGGUGGGGAGGGGAGCGCAGGGAGGAAGGAAAAAGGAGGGUUUAAAGGGAAUCUAUCAGGUGUGAAGGGAGACUUCCUUUGUGAGUCUUUGAACAUCAGAAGGCUGUGUGGGGAGGUUAGGAGUUGGAGGUACCACUGACCUGCCACUGUUUGAUUCAGUGCCUCGUUCUCAGCCAGCCUGGAUGGGGGAGCUCCCAGGUCCUUUCCUGAGGCGACUGUGUAGCUGGUUAGUAGAAGGUGAAGGGGUUUGCAUCUGUAGCCAGCUGAGAUGAGACCAGGCUUGUCUCCAACCUUAGUGCACAUGAGAAUCAGUCUGCGGGCUUGUACAGUUUGUCCGUGGCUGAUUCAGUAGGUAUAGGGCGGAGAAGGUGACAUGCCCUGUUCAGGCACCACACAGAGAACAAAUAGCUGGGUUUGAUUCAGAAUUCAAUAGGCAUUAUCUGACAGCACUGUUGUACAACUGCUAAUCUACAUGGGAUUCAUUGCGGAAUAUUUAAAAUUGACUAUGGGCAUUUAAUUUUGAAAGAAAUUGGUUGCUUUUUUUUCUAGAAAUAGAACCAAUUAGGAACCAAAUUUAUAAUUGGCCGGACACUCUGAAAAUUUGAGAAUGGGAAUCCUUUUAUCAGAACAAAUUGCUAAAAUAAAUUUAAAUUAGGUACCUGAUUGGAGGAAGCAAAUUAAUUAAUUUUGAUAAUGUCUCUAAUAAUGAAUCAACUACCCAAAUAUUGACCUCAAUUUGGAUGAAACUGAACAGUAAAGUUUCCAGAAAACAGUAGUAUUCUCAAUAGCAUGUUUAUCUCAUAGACAUGGUAAUUUUUGCCAGAUGCUUCCACUUUGGGGGAGUGUUUUAUCCAGUUUGUGUUCUGUGUUGGUUACUGAACUGUGCACAACUUUAUUACUUUGCAUAUGGUUGUUGUAUUGUAAGCAUCCACUCCUGCAUCAUUUAAAAUGGCCAUAAACUGGCAAUACCAAUGAGGUAAUGGGUGAUGCUAUUUUCUAGUGGCAAAUUUCAAUAUGUAUUUAAUAGCUUGGCUGUAAAUAUCCUGGUGGCAAUAUUUGGUAUUGAUAUUGGACUUUUGUAAAUAUGCUUCUAAAUGGGAAUAGUGUUACAAUGGACUGUUCACUGUUAGUGGCAAACUUUGACAUGUUGCCGCUUUAGUCGGGUUUCUCUGUACUGGGAGGUGCUGAGGAGUAUGGAUGUAGAGAGACUUUGCAGUGACUGAAGAAGGAACCCAGACUAGAAACAAAGAGACCUCUUCUGUGGCUUGGACCGAAUACAAAAUGAGCAAUCCUGUUGUUUUAGAAAAGUGUGACUUAGGAAGGGACUCCGAUGAAAGCAGGGAGCCCUCUCUUCUGUGGUUGGACUCAAAAAUGAGCAAUCAUGGAGGAUUUUUUAAAAAAUUGUGACAUGAAGGACCUCAACCUUGAAACAAGGAGACCUCUCUUCUGUGGUUUGGACUCAGUAAAAUGAGCAAUCAUGGAAGACUUAAAAAUGUGACCUAUAAAGGAAAGGGACCUAAAUGUGAAACAAGAAGACCUCUUUUCUGUGGUUUGGACUCAAAUGAGCAAUCAUGGAAGACUUAAAAAAUUGUGACUUGUAAAAGGACCUAAAUUUGAAACAAGGAGACCUCUUUUCUGUGGCUUGGACUGAAGAUAGGGAGAAAUCCCACAGGAUUUUUAAAAAACUGAUGAUUUCUAUGAGGAUAAGUUAUGGCAUUGAUAUGGAUUUUCUUAUUUUUGUAGGAUGGCAAAGAAUGUCAUAUUUUUCUAAUUAUCUUUUGCUUAACGUGUAACUCUCUGGUGAGCAUGACUGAAUGGACCGGGUGUUUCUCAAACUAGUCAGUUAAGGUCCUAGUGAGGCCAAAGGAAUAUUUAAAAUUUCCCAUCCCCCCAAAAUAUGAAUCACAAUGAGGAAACUGAAAAUUAAACACAACUCACUGAGCAAUAUUUUUGUCUUAGAUGGCAACAUGGUAAAGUUUGAUAAUAUGUUUACAAGAAAGAAUGGAUUGACUUUUCUGAUUGUUUUAUGGAGAGAAAAAUAUUAAUUCAUUGGCCUUAAAGUCAUUACUACUCUUCUCGCACCAAGACCUCGUGUAAUUAAUUGGCAUUUAGUAUGGAUCUGGAGGAUAGAUUGUAUGUCAUAUUGGGUAUGUUGUCAGUUAUUGGGUAAAAUAUAUUCAUAAAGAAACAAAAGAUAACUAAGUUUUAGGCAAAAUUUAGCUUCCACUUUAAAUCUAAACUCUUCAAUACAGUCCGGACACAACGGCAUUUGAUUGUGCCUCUGCUGGGUGCAGAGAAUUGGGUGACACCAUCUUAAAUUCAACUUGCCUGUCCAUCAGCCAGAGGGAUACUCACAUUUCAAUUCAGGCUUCUGUGGAAAGGAAAAGGGUUUUUGGAAAGUCAUCCGUCUGUUUCAGUCUAGCUCACUAGAGAAUAAAACUUACCUGUUUAAUAAAAAAAAAAAGCAGGUGAGCAUUUGAACGAAUCUCUUGUGCAACCUCUUAGAGAUCAAGAGUUCAUUGUUAUUGAGAGUAUACAACUGUUUACUUAUUAGUGGUAACCAUGGACGUAGCCACAUAAAAUUAUGUAAAUACAUAUAUCCUUGUUUAGCUUUUGUAAUGUAUAUAGCAUCUUCUACAACUUGCUGUUAAAGAGAACACGUGGAACAGUUGUUUUUAAAAUGACAAGACCAUGUCUGGAUCACUCCAAGAAGAUUCUGGCCAGUGACCAUGUGAAGACACUCCAUGCCAUUGUAAACAUCAGUUCAGAACCACUGCAUGAUACCUUUGCCUGAAUUUUAGAGAAUUGUAGAAAGCUGCUGCCAACGAGGGGGUGACCAAGGGGCAGGCAUUGGACUCAGUUGGGGCCUGAGAACAAUGGACAAGGGUUUCUUGCCAAAAGUAAGAACCUGCGUAGCCAGGUGAUUGCUGUUCAGGCUCCGGUAGAUGGCUGCUCCGCACCUACCUUUCCAGUUGGCAGUUUGACCUCUUUUAACUUUUUUAAACUUCCAGCCGUCGCCUUACUUCUGUCUUCAGAUUCUCUCUGACAUGACGAACCACAUCAUGUUCCAACAGUAUUAUAAAUAAGCAAUAAUCAGAAGAGGGGAAAGAUUCCAUAGACUGGUAUUUCCAGCAUCCUUUGCCACUCUGAAAACCGGUCAUCUUCCACUUGCCAUCUCUGAAGAUUUGGAUUCUCAAAAUCUGGGAUGUUCGUUCACUCAAACCCUCUGGUCCCCCUAAUCUCCAGAAGUUUGUACAGCAAGAAACAAUGUUACUGAAAGCCAGGAUGAUGUACAAUGGAUGAGCCAGAGAUCCCAGCCUGAGGAACUGCCCUGCCUGAGCUAGGGACUCCUGUGGGCAUCUCACCCUCAUGCAAACUGAAGGGGUCUUUGGCCAGAUCAAGAGCCAUUUUCCCAACCUAAUACGCAUUGAUGCCUGGGCCAAAAGCAUAUAGGGACAGCGUCCUCAUCCCGUAUUCCUCCCCACAAAGGUAUGUGAAGGACAACAUCACAUAGACACAGCCAAACCCGCAGGAAUCUGGAGAGGAAGGACACACAGCACAUUCUAAUUGAGCUAGAAGCUUUACCAGCCACAAAGACAAGAAACACAGAUUGAUACUGUUUUGACCGUCGGUCUUACAUUUCAUUGGAGAAAAUAUUUUGUGAUGGGGAGUCUCAACUCCCCUUCAGAAGGUCUACCAUUGAAAGCUGUGUAUCUGAGACACUUGUAUAGAUGCCUGAUGCACAGGUCUCCAGUUUUCUCCAAUUUGCAUUUUAAAAACAACUCAGAAUCUAACCCUGCUAAGUACUUUAUUGCCCACAUAAAGCUGAACAAUUGAUGGACAUUGGUAUGGACAAUGUUGUUAAAAUGUAAAUAGGAAAUACUCAGUGACUGAUGAAUGUUAACGAACUGUUGUUGAUGUGAGGAGACCAAGAGAAUGAAAUUCAACAUAUAAUGGUUUCAUUUUCUUGUAUUUUAUUCUUUGUUUACGUUAACUUCCUUGGAAUAUAAACUCAAGCACAGAGGCCUCCAUUUGUAAACAAAUCUGUUAUUUUUGGAUAUUUUUGUAACGGUUGCUGUGAUAUUCAAGCUGGUUUCCUAGGGAAGUUUCUAAUAACACAUUUAGUAAAAUUUUCUGUAUAUAGAGUUUUUUAAAGCUAUACACAAUGCUGGACUCAUUGUUGUGUGCUCAGGGAUAGCAGGAAAGGAAGUAGCAAGGCAUUAGAUAUCCAUGUGUAUAAAAAAGCCAAAUAUAGUUGCUUUGCGCCAUUUCCUAAUGUAUUGUAAUUGUUUUAACAAGGAGUUUGGUUACGUGUAUAGAAGUAUUUUAAUACAUGAUGAUGAAAAUAGAACUGUCAGAAUACCUCUGAAAGAUGUACAUAUUAAACCAUUAGAAUGGACGAUUGCUGUGGGACUGGGAGAGGGGAGGUUUUGUACACAGCUAUCACAGACAUGAAAGGCUGCUCUGUGGGUGUAGAUAUUCCUGUAAAUGGUCUUUAUUUUGAAAUGUAUAUGUUGCUCUUUGCUUAUUACCAAGUGUUAUUGCUGUUUAUAUAUAUAUAUAUAUAUUAGGACUGUUGCGCCAUGUUACCAAAGCCAUCUUACAGGGAUGGCUUACCUCCAUGCUCACACGUCUACCUUUAGUUUGUAAAUUUUUUGUUUUGCCAGUUGCAUUAUUAAAUGGCCUCAUUAUUAAUUUAUUUAUGAUAACAUUUUGUUAUAAACAAUGUUAUUAAUGCCUAACAUGCAAUUUUCAACAUGUAUAUACGUCAUUGUAAAUUUGUUAUGAAUAUGAUCAACUUAAUGGGAUUAGAAGCAUUUUUGUUUACCAAAGAGAUGUUAGAUGUAGCCUCUCUGUGUUCCCUGCAUCAUUAGGCUCCAUUUUCAUGUUGUCCUCAGUGGUGAGCAUAGUGUAAUGCUCUGUUUUAUGACAUCAUCAUGCUGGAAAUUUCAUUGCAACUGUAGGUCUGCUUUCAUUGAUGGUUUUCAGAUAUAUUUGUAUACAAAUAGGGCAGGAUUUUUUAGCAUAACUUUGAGAAAUCUCUACAUGUGGUAUAAAACAGCAUAGGUUAGAAAAGUUCAUUUGCCAGUGGAAAUUGACAUAAUAGUGAAUUGUUUUUAGAACUUAUUUCUAGUUGUAUAGGUGAUUAAUGUUUGAUGUGGGACGUUAGCAAUGGAAUAUAUUAAACCCAAGUUCAUUAUAUGUGGGCUGACAAAAGAAUGUGUUUGUAUUAUAUGUAUAUAGUAUACAGUUACACGUUUUUUAAAGCAAUAGGAACUUUUAUAUUUGCAUGUCUUGUUUUUAGAUUAUUAUAUAUAUCUUUUUGCUUUAAACUUUUAGUUCUUUAAAUAUAAUGAUUGUUUACAUAUUCAUAUGUGUGUAUACAUAUACACAUAUAUACAUGUACAUAUGUGUAUAUUAGUGUACAGAACUUUUUUAAAGUCAUAGGACAAACAAUGGAAGAUACUGUGACGCUGCUAGCUAUAUGGUGGACAAAUGUUUUGUUUUAUAACAUCUGCAUUGAUAGACACACGUGACUUCUGUUUUGGCAAUUAAAUUGCUAUACUAUGUCUAGUCGACAUGUAUUGUUGGGGGGGGGUUAUUGCCUUUGUGUUGUAUUUUUUUUUAGUAGAUAUUCUUUGUUAAGGUGUAGAAAUCAUUGUCAUUAAUGUGUAAAUGUGUAAUUUUUUCCUACCAAUCUAGUUUUUGAAUGUUAAGUUCUGGAGCCGAGCAGGGAGGUAUCUGACUGCUGUAUGUAUAAUAGACAAGUUUCUUACCACAUCUUCACUCCUAGGUUUGUAGAAAUACCCUGUUUCCACGCGCCCCCGCGCGCGCACACACACGCACACACACAGUACAUAAUGUUAAUGUUGAACUAGGGUUAAAAAAUGUUUGUUACCAAUAGAAGUGUUACUUCACCCCCUAGUGUUUGAUAUCACUUGGGGUGAAUGGGGGUGAUUAAUCUGACCAGACCUUUGUUUUUCUACCAUAUACUCUUGUACAUGUGCCGAGAUUUCUGUCAUUUAAAAAUUUUUAAAUCUAUUUCACCUGAAAUUAUAGCACAUAUGCUUUUUUUUGCUUGUUGAAAUGGUUCACCAGUCCUGCCAAUUUUAAUCUUCAUACUGUGUGUAUUUAUCUUUAAAACGCCUGUUCAUUGCUGAUAUACUUUCUAAUAUCACAACCUAUUAGUAUAAUUAGACAUUUUUCUCCGAAUGUUGAACAGGGGUAGUGGAUGUUUCUGACCUCAUCUCUAAUACUCUCUUCAUGUCUUUCUGGUUUAUGUCUAUGACAUGGACUCUGUCUAUUGCAUUGCAUGUGGACCACCCACAGUCAAAUCCUCUCCCAUCACCAUCGAUUUGGCCCCCAUUUUCCUCGACUACCUCUCCACCCACUUCCCAACAACAUGGAUGGACCUUGAGAAUAGGAUGCUAAGUGAAAUAAGUGGAAAGUAUUUUUACCUCACAUUUUUAUUUAGACGUAAAAGUAGAUAGUAACCAUGAAAUUGAUUGUCAUUUUAUAGAAAAAUACCUCAAUUUAAGGGCCAUGUUGUUAUAUAUUAUUUUCCCAGAUGUACUGAGGUUCAGGAUGGAAUUCUUUUUUCUAAAGAACAUUUACAGAAUCUCUAACUAUAUAAUCCUGUAAAUAUUUUAUUGUAUAUUUGUUCCUACCAUUGUCUUUCAAUAAUAACACGGCAAUAAAAUUAAAUGUACAAAAUAAUUCAUUUCCCCCAACAUGGAAGAAUAGUCUGGCCAUCCUAACAAGUAUAAAUUUAAAAUUUAAGAUACAGUGUGAAUUUGGUGUUUUUUGGAUGUGCCAAGUAUCCCAAUAUGUUUCCAUUAUUUUUUUAUUAAGAUUUUUUUGGAAAGCGGUUUAAAAUUCAUAGCAAAUUGAAGGGAAGGUACAAAGAUUUCCCAUAUACCUCAGUCCCCACACACAUGCAAUAAUCAACCCAACACAUAGGGUAAUCUCAUGCCUUUUACAUCCAUAAGGUGACUUUGACAUUGACAUAUAUCCAUUUUGAUAUUUGGGUUAUUUUUCUUACCCUAAAUCCUCUGUACUCUGCCUACUCAUCCUUCUGUGUUUUUUGCUCUCUCUCUUUAACAUUGAAGGUAUUAGUUGCUUCGUUGAACGGAUUUUAUACUACCUCUUGGAACUAUACAUAGUUGUGUAUGUGUUCCCUUGGUCGCAUGACAGUAUUCAAGACAACUUUGUAAAUAACAGGCAGAUACACUUUUUAAUUUCUAACAUCUAGUCUUUCCAGAUGUAUAUAUUCUCUCAACGUAUACUCUUGUAAAUAAUUCAUUGUACAAUUCCAUGCUUUUAUAUUCUUGGGCUGAGUGGUGGUGGCUUAGGCUAUAUAUAUAUCCUUGCUCUGUGGAUUUGCUAGGGGGCGGGUAGAAGGGAGUGGCCCUACACUUUUUGAAAUAAGGCAUUGUUUAGUGUUUGUUCUACAUCAAAGACCUCAGUCCUCACUUUGUGGUUGUGUAGCUGAUAGGGCAUUAUGUAUUUUAAUCAUGGGAAAUGUAUUUUAUAGGACUUACACAGCCACAGUCAGGACAAUUUUGUAAAUAGCAGGCAUAUAUAUAUAUAUAAAUACACAUCAUUUUAAACAUCUAGUUUUUCUAGAUGCACAGGGAGAUUCGCAAAAUUUUGUAAAUAUUUCAUUGCAUACUAGCGUAAGUUGGCUUCUGGUAUGUUUUGGCAAUGUAAUAGGUGGUUAGUGAAUAUCUGCUUCCUAGGCUGUGCUAGCGUUCUGGUGUUCAGUGAGUUCCUGGGAGAGGAAUGCCAAGAUGGCCUACGAAUCUUCAUCUUCUUAGGCUCUCGAGUAUAAGGAAAGGCUACACCGGGGAUGGGUAACAGCAGUGACAACCAGACUUGUAUUGUGAAGCUUCAGGGAGAAAGAUAGGUGACAAGAACUGUCCCUUUGUCACAUGCAGAUAUUCUCAGUGAUGUGAUCAAACAUGGCAGCAACGCACAUUGCUAAAGGAAUUGCUAUGUUGCUAAGCUAGAUAAAUAUUAACACAUAUGUAACAUUAGUUUUAGGGGUAUAGGUCUGAUAAUGCUUUUUUUCUCAUUUAUUAGCUUCUUGAUUUUCAUUUUGCUAUGAAAGUUAUUGUAUUCUUACACUUAUAAAAGCCAGCCUCAUGUUACAUGUAAAUGUGUUAAUUUUGUAUGAGAUAAUUAAGCAACUCUAUAUCAAUGUUUUCAUCUAUAUGCAUCUGUAUGAGAGAAUUACACUAGUUAUAAAUAUUUUAAUUCUGAGACCUCUUUAAAAUUUUUUCUGGUGAAUUGUUAUAUUUGAAUGUCAUGAUUAAUAUUGAAAGUGUAUUGUAUCUCAGUUGCCUGUAAUGUACAUUAUGAAAGUUUCUUAGAAAGGUGGUCCAAUCCAGUAUUGAUUAAAGUAUAAAUCAUCUCUGAACAGCAGUUUGGCAAUGACAAUCAGAAUUGAAUGCUUAAAAGUGACUGCUGUGAUUUUAUCUAUUCUAAAUCAAAUUUACAAAGCUGAAGGUACAUUAUAAAUUGAAACAUUGAACAACUGAAAUACACAUUAGUGAAAAAUAUAGUAAUGAUUAUAGCUUACUUAAAGAAUAUAAUCUAACCACUGAUAAAACAUUCUUAUGUGGAUGUGAGUUUUAAAUUGAUACUUAAAAUUGUCAUUUUUGAACAAAGAUCAACAAGUGUAUAUUGACAAGAGGUGUGUCCAUGUGCCUCUAGUUCAUAUACCAGAAAAGCUAAGGGCAAUGAUUCACCAUCAGUGUCGCUAUCCCGGUGAUGGCUUUGACACACUUUGGAAUUUUUGUGCAUGUGCUAGUUAAACAAUAAGGCAUUGCUCAUCCAUGUAUUUGUAUGUUGCUACAUGACAAUCUAAAGUGACUGAGUAUGGAAGAGAAAGUUGUCUGGACGACUAUGGCAAAAUCUCAGUGUACAGACACGUGAAUGGAAGGACUGCUUCUACUUUGUGCAUUCAAAUUUGUAAAAGGUAUUUCAAAAGGAACAUUUCAACAACAGGAAUUUUAAAGGCACAGCUAAUUUGUGCCUGUCGUCCAUCUUGCCUAUCAACAUCUUGGGCAUGUGUGGUGAUGGGUCCGGCCUUGUAUUGCCAUUGGGCCUGAUUAAUGCUUUUAAGAGAUCAAGACAGCAUGUGACUUAAAGACUAAUGCAGCACAGAGCUGUACCAUGUGAGGAGGAGGAAGGAGGAGAAUCGAUUACCCAAGGAGAGAAGAAGGGAGACGACGAGACUGCAGGAGUGAAAAGGAGGAAAGGAAAGUGAAUUUGUGACAAGCGAGGACAACCAACAUCAGGAGCCUUGGUCUUUCAGUGGAGCUCCUUGUUCCCUGAGGCUCAGCUGAACCACAGGAGAUGAUGGUUCCUGAGGAUGACACCACCGCCUCGAGUCCUCACGCAGUGCGCCCCACUUCCAUCCCUGGCCCAGGAGCGUCCUGGAGACAUGCGUGGGAUGCCGGAACAGACUUGCUUCUGCCACCAUCUGAAACACCCGCCAGCCAGGCUUCAGAGCGGCCCAGCGGUGCCUCUCGGGCGUGGCCAUGGACACUCCCUGCCAGCCUGACAGGACGAGCACGCGUGUCCAAGGUGACCCAGCGGGUGAUGGCGAGAACUGUAAGCAGCAUGUUGACUGUUGUCCUUGUUGCUGUGGGACUGGCACCAGGAGAUGGAAAGCUGGAGACCUUAAUCCCGAAGCCCUGGACGUGCCGUUGCGAGGCCUCCUCCAGGGCUCCCAUAUAUUUCUAUUUUACUUAUUAUCAUAGCGUAGAUUUAAAAUGUAUUCAUUAAAAAUAGUCUUUUUUUUUUAGAUUUUAGGCAACAUAGAAAUUUGUUAAGUAUGUAGUUAUUACUUUAUGUACCUUUGUUUCCCUUUUAAUUUUACCCUGCCCCAUGUCAUCUAAUGUCUUUUUAUUUUUCAAUUAGAUUACAUUCAAUAUUACUUUGUAUUAGUUUCAGGUAUACUCAAAAGUAAAGUGUCCCCUCAAUGUUUCAGGUACCCACCAGGCCCCAUAUAUACGGAUCACAGUACAAACCGACUGUACUCCCUACGCUAUCAUCUACUAAUAGAGUUAGUGCGCACCCUCGUGGUGCUGCUCAGACAUUGUAGACAAGUAGUGUUUUAGGCGCUUACACUGGCCACGCAUCUUCUCUGCAUUAAACAUGCUUUUAUAUCAUUCCUUUUGAAUUUAUUCAACUAACUUGUUGAAAAAAUUCCAAUGAAUUGGAAUUACUCUGGCUAAAAAUACUCAAUUUAUAUAUAGACUCAAAAGUUAGCUUUCCCCUCAUUCUAGGUCCUUCUCUUUAUUCUGCCUCCCCCUGUUUGAGACUUCAAACUGUG
Molecule: long non-coding RNA, 14431 nt
Organism: Myotis brandtii (Brandt's bat)
Lineage: Eukaryota; Metazoa; Chordata; Mammalia; Chiroptera; Vespertilionidae
Exons: 5
Source: RefSeq, a predicted model, not a curated record